AACGAACGCUGGCGGCAUGCCUAACACAUGCAAGUCGAACGAGACCCCCGGGUCUAGUGGCGCACGGGUGCGUCACGCGUGGGAACCUGCCCUUAGGUUCGGAAUAACUCCCCGAAAGGGGUGCUAAUACCGGAUAAUGUCUUCGGACCAAAGAUUUAUCGCCUUUGGAUGGGCCCGCGUUGGAUUAGCUAGUUGUUAGGGUAAAAGCCUACCAAGGCGACGAUCCAUAGCUGGUCUGAGAGGCUGAUCAGACACACUGAGACUGAGACACGGCCCAGACUCCUACGGGAGGCAGCAGUGGGGAAUAGUGGACAGUGGGCGAAGUGCUGAUCCAGCAAUGCCGCGUGAGUGAUGAAGGCCUUAGGGUUGUAAAGCUCUUUUACCCGGGAUGAUAAUGACAGUACCGGGAGAAUAAGCUCCGGCUAACUCCGUG
RNAcentral lists this ribosomal RNA (433 nucleotides) under uncultured bacterium. Its description in RNAcentral is "partial 16S ribosomal RNA". It matches the Rfam family "Bacterial small subunit ribosomal RNA", at positions 29 to 507 of the family's 1533-position model. The record is from RNAcentral.